GGCUCUCUGUUUACAUAAAUAUAGGGAGUCGAGCCUGCCCAGUGGAUUUUUAAACGGCCGCGGUACUCUGACCGUGCAAAGGUAGCAUAAUCAUUUGCCUUAUAAUUGAAGGCUAGUAUGAAUGGUUUGACGAGAGCAACACUGUCUCCUUUUUAUUUUCAAGAACUUAACUUUUAGGUGAAGAGGCCUAAAUUUUAUUGAAGGACAAGAAGACCCUAUCGAGCUUAAAAGACAUUAUAGAAGUUUAUAUAUUUCUAAAUAAAUUUUCUAUUGAGCUUUUUAGUUGGGGCGACUAAGGAACAAAAAAAGCUUCUUGCUAAUAAUAGACAGUCAUGUUUAGAUCCGAUAAUAAUCGAUCAAAGAAAUUAGUUACCGUAGGGAUAACAGCAUAAUCUCUCUUGAGAGACCUAAUCGAAAGAGGGGGUUGUGACCUCGAUGUUGGACUAGAAUAUCCUAAAGAUGCAGAAGUCUUUGAAAGGUCGGUCUGUUCGACCGUUAAAAUUCU
Molecule: ribosomal RNA, 505 nt
Filed under: Juga plicifera
Lineage: Eukaryota; Metazoa; Mollusca; Gastropoda; Semisulcospiridae
Description: partial large subunit ribosomal RNA
Rfam family: Bacterial large subunit ribosomal RNA
Source: RNAcentral